Molecule: ribosomal RNA, 253 nt
Filed under: uncultured bacterium
Lineage: Bacteria
Description: partial 16S ribosomal RNA
Rfam family: Bacterial small subunit ribosomal RNA
Source: RNAcentral
UACGGGGGGUGCGAGCGUUGUCCGGAAUCACUGGGCGUAAAGGGCGCGUAGGUGGCGUGAUAAGGGUGUGGUGAAAGCCCGGGGCUCAACCCCGGGUCUGCCAUGCCGACUGUCAGGCUGGAGUACUGUAGGGGCAGGCGGAAUUCCGGGUGUAGCGGUGGAAUGCGCAGAUAUCAGGAGGAACACCAGUGGCGAAGGCAGCUCGCUGGGACGUGACUGACGCUGAGACGCGAAAGCGUGGGGAGCAAACAGG